Long non-coding RNA from Armigeres subalbatus, 284 nucleotides. RefSeq lists it as uncharacterized. The transcript has 3 exons. Lineage: Eukaryota; Metazoa; Arthropoda; Insecta; Diptera; Culicidae. The record is from RefSeq and is a predicted model, not a curated record.
AAAAAACAGGCCGACUCGUGGGUGACAUUACAAGGAAAGGACACUGCGAAAAAUUUGAUACGAAAAUUGAGUCAUUCAGUUUGGAACUCAUGCACAGAAACUGUAAGAUAUAUAGCAAAGGGCUCUUUCGAAUAGAUUUUUCAUUGUUGUACGCGUCAAUUGCUACUAUGACGAACUAUUUGAUUGUUUCUGUUCAGAUAUCAGGAUGAAAAAAAAAUUAAUGAAUUGAUAUCACAUGGAGAACAUAAUAAGAACGCUGAAAGAGACAGACACUGUGUGGACUG